GAUGAACGCUGGCGGCGUGCCUAAUACAUGCAAGUCGAGCGAACAGACGAGGAGCUUGCUCCUCUGACGUUAGCGGCGGACGGGUGAGUAACACGUGGAUCACCUACCUCUAAGUCUGGGAUAACUUCGGGCAACCGGUGCUACUACCGGAUAAUAUAUUGAACCGCUUGGUUCAAUAGUGCAAGGCGGUUUUGCUGUUACUUAUAGCUGGUUCCGCGUCGCAUUAGCUAGUUGGUAAGGUAACGGCUUACCAAGGCUACGAUGCGUAGCCGACCUGAGAGGGUGAUCGGCCACACUGGAACUGAGACACGGUCCAGACUCCUACGGGAGGCAGCAGUAGGGAAUCUUCCACAAUGGGCGAAAGCCUGACGGAGCAAUGCCGCGUGAGUGAAGAAGGUCUUCGGAUCGUAAAGCUCUUUUAUUAGGAAAGAACAAAUGUGUAAGAAACUAUGCACGUCUUGACGGUACCUAAACAAAAAGCCACGGCUAACUUCGUG
RNAcentral lists this ribosomal RNA (497 nucleotides) under uncultured bacterium. RNAcentral describes it as "partial 16S ribosomal RNA". It matches the Rfam family "Bacterial small subunit ribosomal RNA", at positions 28 to 507 of the family's 1533-position model. The record is from RNAcentral.